Pongo abelii (Sumatran orangutan) is the source of this 148-nucleotide unclassified non-coding RNA. It matches the Rfam family "Metazoan signal recognition particle RNA". Rfam says of the family: The signal recognition particle (SRP) is a universally conserved ribonucleoprotein. It is involved in the co-translational targeting of proteins to membranes. The record is from Ensembl. NCBI's taxonomy places the organism in Eukaryota, Metazoa, Chordata, Mammalia, Primates, Hominidae.
GCCAGAUGUGGUGGUGUGUUCCUGUCAUCCCAGCUACUUGGGAGGCUGAGGCAGGAGAAUUGUUUGAGCCCAGGAGUUCAAGGCUGCAGUGAACUAUGAUGGUGCCACUGCACUCCAGCCUGGGCAACAGAGCAAGACCCUGUCUCUA